UACGGGAGGCAGCAGUGGGGAAUAUUGCACAAUGGGCGCAAGCCUGAUGCAGCCAUGCCGCGUGUAUGAAGAAGGCCUUCGGGUUGUAAAGUUCUUUCAGCGGGGAGGAAGGCAGUGAGGUUAAUAACCUUACUGAUUGACGUUACCCGCAGAAGAAGCCCCGGCUAACUCCGUGCCAGCAGCCGCGGUAAUACGGAGGGUGCAAGCGUUAAUCGGAAUUACUGGGCGUAAAGCGCCCGCAGGCGGUCUGUUAAGUCAGAUGUGAAAUCCCCGGGCUUAACCUGGGAACUGCAUUUGAAACUGGCAGGCUUGAGUUUCGUAGAGGGGGGUAGAAUUCCCGGUGUAGCGGUGAAAUGAGUAGAGAUUUGGAGGAAUACCGGUGGCGAAGGCGGCCCCCUGGCCGAAGACUAACGCUCAGGUGGGAAAGCGGGGGGAACAAACAGGUUUAAAUACCCGGGUAGUCC
RNAcentral lists this ribosomal RNA (464 nucleotides) under uncultured Enterobacteriaceae bacterium. RNAcentral's name for it is "bacterial SSU rRNA". It matches the Rfam family "Bacterial small subunit ribosomal RNA", at positions 340 to 796 of the family's 1533-position model. The record is from RNAcentral. Lineage: Bacteria; Pseudomonadati; Pseudomonadota; Gammaproteobacteria; Enterobacterales; Enterobacteriaceae.